RNAcentral lists this long non-coding RNA (1135 nucleotides) under Sarcophilus harrisii (Tasmanian devil). Its description in RNAcentral is "lncRNA (ENSSHAG00000032319.1)". The record is from RNAcentral. Lineage: Eukaryota; Metazoa; Chordata; Mammalia; Dasyuromorphia; Dasyuridae.
AUAAGAGGAAUUUCCUUAUAUAAGUAUCUGCCUUUUAAGUGGAAAGCCUUCAAAGAAAGGCAUAUUACAUUUUAUCUAAUAACUGCACAAGACAUUGCACUGAAUUAUAUAAUGAAUUCUAGGCCUUACAUGGUCCCUUCUUCAUCUCUAUUGCACUGAGCAAAGUACAUAUCUCAUAGGAAAACCUUUUAUAAAAGUUAUUUUUAAUUCUGGCAUAUUGCAAGAUAAGAGCGUAGUCCUGCACAGGUGUUGCUUAAAAUAAACUACAGUUUGUUUUUAGGGAUAUUGCUUCAUAAUUGAAUUUGGCAUGUUAUAUAUACCACACUGUGUUAUUUAAGCACAAAUAUUUGUAUUUUGACAGAAUGAGGAUUUUUUAAAGAGUUUGAAGCAAACAAGUUUCUGUGUCUACUCCUAAGUUUUGCUUUAAACUUUUGAAAUCAUGAAAUAAAUUUAUCUAUUAGAAGAAAUGGUCCUGGGUGUUGUGGUGCAUGCCUGUAAUUCCUGCUCCUAAAGAAGGCUGAGACAGUUGGAUUCUUUUAGUACAAAAGGUCUGAGCUACAGUAGAGCAAAAGUGCUACAUUCAUUGCCAAUGUGGUGAGCAUUCUGGGAGCAUGCCUAAGGAAGAGCGAACCAUCCCAGGUUGUAAAAAAAACCAAACAAACAAACAAAAAAAAAACCACCUGGUUAACACUUCGAUGCCGAUCAUUAACACCCAUUCAAGGCUGCUACACUUCUAGCCCAUUAAAAUCAAAAUAGCAGUUCAAAUCUUUCCCCAAAAAAUCAAACAAAAAAUACUAUUCCAACCUGACAGUAUUUUUUAAUAUCUCCAUUCUAGUCUUCGAUGGAAGUAGGGUUCUUUACUUGUCUCAUUAUCCUUAUGUUGUGAACUUAAUUUGAAUAGUUUAUAAGUGGAAUCCUUUUUUACAAUCAAGUUAUAUCAAGCAUAAGUCAGAUUAAAAUCAUGUUAUUUCUAGAUGAGAUUGAUCGCCUUUGGACAAAUUCAUAAUUUCUUUAGGUUACAGAUGAAUGUUUUUGAACCAUAUUCACCAUCCCUUGAUUCCAUCAAGGUCGUGUAAAGCAGGGAGUUGAAGGACUAAUAAUAUGCAAGAUUCUGCUGUCAGUAUUUGUGUAUUUG